Molecule: long non-coding RNA, 1060 nt
Organism: Alexandromys fortis (reed vole)
Lineage: Eukaryota; Metazoa; Chordata; Mammalia; Rodentia; Cricetidae
Exons: 5
Source: RefSeq, a predicted model, not a curated record
CCCUGGCCACAAAAGGUAGGAGUAAGAAAAAAAACUACAUUAACUUGAUAUAAGGAAAUGAACCUACCAAUUGAAAGUUAUGGGCUAUGUCCUAGUUAAACUUUCUGUUGCUAGAACAAGUUAUGCUCACACCCUAGACCAAAACAUCCUGUAGGCAAAUUACUCCCUGGGUGGAAUCCAAAGUUAUCUCCCAAAGGGAACUGGAGCUUAGUUGGAACUUUUGCUUGUGAAGUAGAUAGGAAUGUAUCUACUCUUUAUUCCUGGAGUACAAGGUCUGGCUAUUAGUCACUCACACCUGUUGACUAUAACCUUGAGAGAGCAGAACUCUCUGACCUAAUUCUAGGUGGGACCAGUGUUAGAGGUUGAAACCUUGAAGGAACUAGAGGUAAGUUCCAACUCUCUGACCUUUGGUCAAUGUGGAAAUAGGCUCAUCUUUGGGCCUCCACACUACCUCCCUUCUUCUGUCUUUCAGGCUCUUGGAUGUGCCACAAAACAAGAGAAAAAUAGGCUCAGUGCUUUCACACCGUAAAUAUCAGAGACCAGCUAUGCACAUCACCUGACCAGGAGCUACCUGCUGGUUAGGUGAAUGGAAGGAGGUGCCGGUAUUCUAGAGAGAAACAGCUUCCAGCAAAUGGAUUGGAAACAAGCUCUUCACUACAUGUCUCUGAGACAUGGCCCCUCACUGAAUCUGGAGCUCAAGACCUUUGAGGUACCCAGGCAUUCAGCAAGUCCCAGGGUCACACAAGGCUACCAGCUGCAUCUGAGCAUGCUCAGAAGCGUCUCCCACGUGGAACACACCAAGGCCAACAUGUCUGUCUCCCUCUCUGAAUGUGCAAGGGCAAGCGGUCUGAUCCAACACUGCAACAAGGAUCAAGUUUGAAAUGUGGUCUGCCGCUUAGCUCUGAAAGUGUCAAUCAAUGUACCAUGAAAUUGGAGGAGAACAGCAAGUGGCAACCAAUCUCGUCUACGUUAGGAAGAGCGAUGGAAACAUCGUCCGCUGACCCAAUUUCUCUCCCUCCACCAUGGUGAAGGAUUUUACAAAGGACUGUAACUACACAAU